RNAcentral lists this ribosomal RNA (497 nucleotides) under uncultured bacterium. Its description in RNAcentral is "partial 16S ribosomal RNA". It matches the Rfam family "Bacterial small subunit ribosomal RNA", at positions 28 to 507 of the family's 1533-position model. The record is from RNAcentral.
GAUGAACGCUGGCGGCGUGCCUAAUACAUGCAAGUCGAGCGAACAGAUGAGGAGCUUGCUCCUCUGACGUUAGCGGCGGACGGGUGAGUAACACGUGGAUAACCUACCUAUAAGACUGGGAUAACUUCGGGAAACCGGAGCUAAUACCGGAUAAUAUAUUGAACCGCAUGGUUCAAUAGUUAAAGACGGUUUUGCUGUCACUUAUAGAUGGAUCCGCGCCGCAUUAGCUAGUUGGUAAGGUACCGGCUUACCAAGGCAACGAUGCGUAGCCGACCUGAGAGGGUGAUCGGCCACACUGGAACUGAGACACGGUCCAGACUCCUACGGGAGGCAGCAGUAGGGAAUCUUCCGCAAUGGGCGAAAGCCUGACGGAGCAACGCCGCGUGAGUGAUGAAGGUCUUCGGAUCGUAAAACUCUGUUAUUAGGGAAGAACAAAUGUGUAAGUAACUAUGCACGUCUUGACGGUACCUAAUCAGAAAGCCACGGCUAACUACGUG